RNAcentral lists this ribosomal RNA (510 nucleotides) under uncultured bacterium. RNAcentral's name for it is "partial 16S ribosomal RNA". The record is from RNAcentral.
GGAGUUAGCCGGUGCUUCUUCUGCGAGUAACGUCACAGAUGUAAGGUAUUAACUUACACCCUUUCCUCCUCGCUGAAAGUGCUUUACAACCCGAAGGCCUUCUUCACACACGCGGCAUGGCUGCAUCAGGGUUUCCCCCAUUGUGCAAUAUUCCCCACUGCUGCCUCCCGUAGGAGUCUGGGCCGUGUCUCAGUCCCAGUGUGGCUGAUCAUCCUCUCAGACCAGCUAGGGAUCGUCGCCUAGGUGAGCCUUUACCUCACCUACUAGCUAAUCCCACCUGGGCUUAUCCAUCAGCGCAAGGCCCGAAGGUCCCCUGCUUUCCCCCGGUAGGGCGUAUGCGGUAUUAGCAGUCGUUUCCAACUGUUAUCCCCCACAAAUGGGCAAAUUCCCAGGCAUUACUCACCCGUCCGCCGCUCGUCAUCUUCAAAGCAAGCUUUUGAAUGUUACCGCUCGACUUGCAUGUGUUAGGCCUGCCGCCAGCGUUCAAUCUGAGCCAGAAUCAAACUCUGA